This is a non-coding RNA of Podarcis lilfordi (Lilford's wall lizard), 72 nucleotides long. NCBI's taxonomy places the organism in Eukaryota, Metazoa, Chordata, Lepidosauria, Squamata, Lacertidae. The record is from the annotation of a GenBank genome assembly.
GGAUAGCUCAGUUGGUAGAGCAUGAGACCCUUAAUCUCAGGGUUGUGGGUUUGAGUCCCACUAGAUGACCCU